GAUGAACGCUAGCGGCGCGCCUAAUGCAUGCAAGUCGAGGGGUAAGGCUCUUUCCGGAGCACACGACCGGCGCACGGGUGCGUAACGCGUAUGCGUCCUACCUCUCACAGACGGAUAGCCCGGGGAGACCCGUAUUAAUACCCUAUAUAGGCUUGUUACUGCAUGGGACUAUUUGCUAGCUCCGACGCUCUUAUAAAUGGGCAUGCCCCAUAUUCUAUAUGUGGGGGUGUAACGGCUUACCAGGGCGACCAUCUAUGGGGGUUCUGAGAGGAAGGUCCCCCACACUGGCACUGAGAUACGGGCCAGACUCCUACGGGAGGCAGCAGUAAGGAAUAUUGGUCAAUGGGCGAGAGCCUGAACCAACCAUGCCGCGUGCAAGAAGACCGCCUUCUGGGUUGAAAACUGCUUUUAUACAGAAAAAAGAAGGUCUUGCGAGGCUACUUGCCGGUACCGUAUGAAUAAGCACCGGCUAACUCCGUGCCAACAGCCGCGGUAAUACGGAUGGUGCAAGCGUUGUCCGGAUUUAUUGGAUUUAAAGGGUGUGUAUGCGGUAUUUUAACUCAGUGGUGAAAGUCUUGAACUUAACUGAAGAAGUGCCGUUGAAACUGGAUUACGAAAUUAUAGUCGAGGUAGGCGGAAUUUAUGAGUGUAGCGGUGAACAUGCAUAGAUACCAUAAAUAACACCGAUAGCCAAGGCAGCUUUACUACGCUAUAUCUGACACUGAGGCACGAUAGCAAGGCUAUCAAACAGGACUAUAUACCCUGGUAGUCCAAGCUGUAACCUAUGCUCACUAGGUGUUGGCGAUAU
This 808-nucleotide ribosomal RNA is filed under the name uncultured organism. Its description in RNAcentral is "bacterial SSU rRNA". It matches the Rfam family "Bacterial small subunit ribosomal RNA", at positions 28 to 832 of the family's 1533-position model. The record is from RNAcentral.